AACCAAAACAGAUAUAUUAAUUAUUAUUUAAUAGUUGAACUAAUAGUAUAAUGACAACUGUCCAAAUUGGAUGAGAAUAGUUUCUCAAAGUUUAUCUUCCGAGAAACUCAACUCUCCUUCUCUCCUACUUUUUCUCCUUUCUCUCAUACUUUUUCUUUUGUAAUUAUUAUUACUUUUGUUGGGUAUCUCAUUGAGAUACUUCCAAUGGAGAUGCUCUUAGUUUCUUUCUUUUUUAGAAGAUGAUUUGUAUUAUUUAAGAUAUAAUUUCACCAAAAGUGCGCCUUUUACAAUGUCUUCGUCUUCAAUUAAAUUAUAUAUU
This 319-nucleotide small RNA is filed under the name Arabidopsis thaliana (thale cress). Its description in RNAcentral is "ATSL099320". Lineage: Eukaryota; Viridiplantae; Streptophyta; Magnoliopsida; Brassicales; Brassicaceae. The record is from RNAcentral.